Molecule: non-coding RNA, 558 nt
Organism: Peromyscus maniculatus bairdii (prairie deer mouse)
Lineage: Eukaryota; Metazoa; Chordata; Mammalia; Rodentia; Cricetidae
Source: RefSeq, a predicted model, not a curated record
AAUCCAUGGAAGGGGGCCAGACUCCAGUCCAAGCAGGCAACUAAAUUGGCAAUAUCAGCCAUGUGGUUCUGGCUUUAGAGUCAUGAGGGAAACAGGGGUAAGGGCUUGUGGAAUCUUUCUCCACAGUUGAGGAAAACUGCUAAGACCAAGCAUAUGACAGACGUGUGUUCCAGCACCAUGCCUGUCAACCAUGAUGGUCAUGAAACCUCUGGAAAUACAGCCUUUCAUGAAAGAACCGCAUUGAAAUAAAUCACCAACGAGCAGAUAGAGCUGUUUAACGAAUAAGAAAGGCUUCAAGCCCUCCACCACCCGCUUCUUCAGACAAAAUUCUAGCUAUUCAUAUGGUUGGCAAGGCCCAGAAGAAAAUGACCCUUCUUCCUGGACUUAUUUGUGUUGAACACGACAAGGGACAUGGAUGCCUACAGAUCUAUGCUCUGGUGCAGAUGUACACGGGUGCAGGGUCAUGUACUGGAUCAUGGAUGACCAUCAAUCAUCACAGCCCUAAAGGAAAAUUAUUCUCCCUCCCCCAGCAGCUGUCAAUUUCAGAAGCUCCUCAAU